This 495-nucleotide ribosomal RNA is filed under the name uncultured bacterium. RNAcentral describes it as "partial 16S ribosomal RNA". It matches the Rfam family "Bacterial small subunit ribosomal RNA", at positions 28 to 507 of the family's 1533-position model. The record is from RNAcentral.
GACGAACGCUGGCGGCGUGCCUAAUACAUGCAAGUCGAACGCUGAAGGAGGAGCUUGCUUCUCUGGAUGAGUUGCGAACGGGUGAGUAACGCGUAGGUAACCUGCCUGGUAGCGGGGGAUAACUAUUGGAAACGAUAGCUAGUACCGCAUAAGAGUAGAUGUUGCAUGACAUUUGCUUAAAAGGUGCAAUUGCAUCACUACCAGAUGGACCUGCGUUGUAUUAGCUAGUUGGUGAGGUAACGGCUCACCAAGGCAACGAUACAUAGCCGACCUGAGAGGGUGAUCGGCCACACUGGGACUGAGACACGGCCCAGACUCCUACGGGAGGCAGCAGUAGGGAAUCUUCGGCAAUGGACGGAAGUCUGACCGAGCAACGCCGCGUGAGUGAAGAAGGUUUUCGGAUCGUAAAGCUCUGUUGUAAGAGAAGAACGAGUGUGAGAGUGGAAAGUUCACACUGUGACGGUAUCUUACCAGAAAGGGACGGCUAACUACGUG